UACGUAGGGGCAAGCGUUGUCCGGAUUUAUUGGGCGUAAAGAGCGUGUAGGCGGCCUGGAAGGUCAGCUGUGAAAACUCGAGGCUCAACCUCGAGACGUCGGUUGAAACCACCUGGCUAGAGUCCGGAAGAGGAGAGUGGAAUUCCCGGUGUAGCGGUGAAAUGCGCAGAUAUCGGGAAGAACACCCGUGGCGAAGGCGGCUCUCUGGGACGGUACUGACGCGUGAGACGGCGAAAAGCGUUGGGGAGCGAACAGG
RNAcentral lists this ribosomal RNA (256 nucleotides) under uncultured bacterium. RNAcentral's name for it is "partial 16S ribosomal RNA". It matches the Rfam family "Bacterial small subunit ribosomal RNA", at positions 524 to 776 of the family's 1533-position model. The record is from RNAcentral.